AGUGAACGCUGGCGGCAGGUCUAACACAUGCCAGUCGAACGGCAGCACAAGAGAGCUUGCUCUCUGGGUGGCGAGUGGCGGACGGGUGAGGAAUGCAUCGGAAUCUGCCCAUUUGUGGGGGAUAACCUCGGGAAACCGGGACUAAUACCGCAUACGACCUACGGGUGAAAGCAGGGGAUCUUCGGACCUUGCGCAGAUGGAUGAGCCGAUGCCGGAUUAGCUAGUUGGAGGGGUAAAGGCCCACCAAGGCGACGAUCCGUAGCUGGUCUGAGAGGAUGAUCAGCCACACUGGGACUGAGACACGGCCCAGACUCCUACGGGAGGCAGCAGUGGGGAAUAUUGGACAAUGGGCGCAAGCCUGAUCCAGCCAUGCCGCGUGUGUGAAGAAGGCCUUCGGGUUGUAAAGCACUUUUGUUGGGAAAGAAAAGCAGCCGGUUAAUACCCGGUUGUCAUGACGGUACCCAAAGAAUAAGCACCGGCUAACUUCGUG
This 490-nucleotide ribosomal RNA is filed under the name uncultured bacterium. Its description in RNAcentral is "partial 16S ribosomal RNA". It matches the Rfam family "Bacterial small subunit ribosomal RNA", at positions 29 to 507 of the family's 1533-position model. The record is from RNAcentral.